AGGAGUAAUAGGAUAAGCAGAAGAAAGAGGACCAUACGGAAGAUACGGACUAUGAUCUUUCAGGACUUGGUAAAUUGGCCAAAAGGACCAAACAGACCAAUCAUUGCCAAGAAAGAAGAAGUCAAAGAAUGUCUAUUAGUUUAAAAUAAAACCAAACACAUUGCAGCAAACUGCCUGGCUCCUU
Long non-coding RNA from Erpetoichthys calabaricus (reedfish), 184 nucleotides. RefSeq lists it as uncharacterized. NCBI's taxonomy places the organism in Eukaryota, Metazoa, Chordata, Cladistia, Polypteriformes, Polypteridae. The record is from RefSeq and is a predicted model, not a curated record. The transcript has 2 exons.